Molecule: long non-coding RNA, 452 nt
Filed under: Fukomys damarensis (Damara mole-rat)
Lineage: Eukaryota; Metazoa; Chordata; Mammalia; Rodentia; Bathyergidae
Description: lncRNA (ENSFDAG00000032638.1)
Source: RNAcentral
UAUUAAACUAUGAUUUUAAUAAUCUUACAGUCAGCACUUAUUUGCCUUUUGUUAGGUGUCACAUGGUGAGGAUCUGAAGAUGGAAGGAGAUAAACAAUGUGAAUUGGAUUGGACGGAUCAGAAACUGAGGGGACCAGAGCCAAGAAGCACUCUGAACUGUGGCAGCCGAUAGAAACUGGGCACCAGAUACCCAUGGAAAACCCAUACAGAGACAGGGUCAUUGUAUUUUACCACCUGGAGAGCAAUGUUCUUGGGAUGUAUGUCAUGUCGGGAUGAAUAAUCUACUGAAGUCUAAACAAUCACUGAUGAAUCUCCACUUCUGGCAGUGUUUUUGAGGGAAGUGUGAGUUAUUAGAGAAUAUUAUUGUUUGCUUGUAAUGGCAAAAUAAAUAUUAAUAAGAUAACAUUGUAUGUCUUGGUUACUUUUGUCAUUGCUGAGACAAAAUAUCCAAC